AUGCCGAAGAAGGGGCUCAAGAAGCUGCACGCCAAGGAUGCGCUCGACUUCUUCAACCAGGUCAUGGUGGAGCAGCCCCUGCUCCCCUUCCUCAUCCCGCUCGGCCUCUUCGCGUGGUUCGUCGAGCGCUGGGUCGUGCCCUUCUCCAACUGGGUGCCCCUCGCGGCCGCCGUCUGGGCGACCAUUCAGUAUGGGAGGUUUAAACGGAAGAUGGCUGUAGAAGAUUUGAACAAAAGAUGGAAGCACCUUAUACUGAACACAACACCUACCACACCAAUAGAACCUUGCGAGUGGUUGAACAAACUUUUGAUUGAAGUUUGGCCAAACUACAUGGAACCGAAACUAUCAAAGAAGUUCCAAUCUACUGUCGAGAGACGUUUAAAGAACCGAAAACCAAAACUGAUAGAUAAAAUAGAAUUACAGGAAUUCUCGCUCGGUUCUUGCCCACCUACCUUGGGAGAGCAGGGUAUGCGCUGGAUGACUUCAGGUGAACAGCAAGUCAUGUCCUUGGGUUUUGAUUGGCACAGCAAAGAGAUGAGUGUGAUGUUUAUGGCGAAAUUAGCAAAACCUCUGAUGGGCACUGCUCGCAUUGUUAUAAACAGCAUCCACAUCAAGGGAGAUCUUCUACUGAGUCCCAUUCUUGAUGGUGAAGCUGUCCUCUAUUCUUUUGAAUCUACUCCAGAAGUCAGGAUUGGCGUAGCAUUUGGAAGUGGUGGAAGCCAAACAGUUCCUGGUAUGGAGUUACCAGGUGUCUCAACAUGGCUGGUAAAGCUUUUGACUGAAACAAUAGCUAAGACAAUGGUUGAGCCUCGCCGUCUCUGCUUUUCUUUGCCACCAGUAGAUCUGAAGAAACAAGCAGUUGGUGGUGUUCUUUCUGUUACUGUUGUUUCAGCUAGUAAUCUUGGCAGAAAGAGCAGAACUAUUGAGUUAGGGAACAACCAAAGCUCAAGUGGAAACACUACACCUGGGAUUCCUCUUAACAGGAGGGCACAUACAUUUAUUGAGGUAGAAGUUGGCACUUUGACGAGAAAAACAACUACUUGUGAGGGUCCAAAUCCUACAUGGAACAGCACAUUUAACAUGGUGCUGCAUGGAGAGACAGGUGUUGUCAAGUUUCUUCUGUAUGAACUGGAUUCCGAUGGUGUCAAGUAUAAUUACCUAACAAGCUGUGAGAUAAAGGUCAAGUAUGUUUUGGAUGGUUCAACAAUAUUUUGGGCUAUAGGACAUAAUGAUGGUGUGGUUGCAAGGCAUGCUGAGCAUUGUGGGAAAGAAGUUGGAAUGGUGGUUCCAUUUGAGGAGGAUAUCACAGGCGAGUUAACUGUCAGUCUUGUGCUAAAAGAAUGGCAAUUCUCUGAUGGGUCGGUUACAUUGAGUAACUCUCUGAGCAAUGAAUUCCAAUGUUCCAUUGAUGGAUCACCGAAGCUUCAGUCAAGGACAGGAAGGAAGCUCAGAGUCAAAGUAGUGGAGGGUAGGGCCCUUGCAGUAAACAGUAAAUCUGGGAAAUGCGAUCCUUAUGUGAAACUCCAGUAUGGAAAGGCUCUAUACAGAACGAAGACACUCUCUCGUACGGCCCAACCAGUUUGGAAUGACAAGUUUGAAUUUGAUGAGAUUGGUGGUGGUGAAUAUCUGAAGGUCAAAUGCUAUAAUUUAGAUACAUUCAGUGAUGAUAGCAUUGGCAGUGCAAGAGUAAAUCUGGAGGGACUUCUAGAUGGUGCUAGCCGAGAUGUGUGGGUACCUCUUGAAAAAGUAGAUUCAGGAGAGAUCAGGCUCGAAAUAGAGGCAAUACCAAAUGAUCACAACGACAGUCUGAAGAGAUCAAGCAGUAAAGUUGAAGCUGGCUGGAUCGAGCUAGUAAUAAUUGAAGCCAGGGAUCUUGUUGCUGCUGAUCUUAGAGGAACUAGUGAUCCAUAUGUCAGGGUGCAAUAUGGGAACAAGAAGAAGCGAACCAAGGUCAUUUACAAGACGCUGGCUCCAAACUGGAACCAGACAUUUGAGUUUGCGGAAACCGGAGAGCCCAUGAUCCUGCAUGUCAAGGACCAUAACGCGGUCCUUCCAACCGCCAGCAUAGGCAACUGCACCGUCGAAUACAGCAUGCUUUCUCCGAAUCAACCCGCCGACAAAUGGAUACCGCUGCAAGGAGUGCGGAGCGGAGAAAUCCAUGUCAAGAUCACCCGGAGAGUCGCGAACUCGGAAAAGAAAAGCAGCCUGCUGACAGAUGCGUCCGCCCUCGGCAAAGGACACAAGAUAUCUGCACAGGUGAGCCAAUGCAUAACUCCAUGCUUUUUUCUGUUCACUCCUGCCACUUUAAUUCUCCUCUGUGAUGAACAUCACUGCUUAUAUGUCCCGUGUGAUGAACAUCCUUUGAAACUCUGUACAGAUGAGAGACAGCCUGAAGAAAUGCUCAGGCUUGGUCGACGACGGCGGCGAUGCGGAGGCGCUGUCGCUGGCCCUGACGGAGGUGGAGAGCGUCCAGGACGAGCAGGAUUUGUACAUACAGCAGCUGGAGCGGGAGAAGGCCCUGAUGCUGCAGAAGAUACAUGA
Molecule: ribosomal RNA, 2541 nt
Filed under: Triticum aestivum (bread wheat)
Lineage: Eukaryota; Viridiplantae; Streptophyta; Magnoliopsida; Poales; Poaceae
Description: partial small subunit ribosomal RNA
Source: RNAcentral